GCUUAUGGCGGCUGUGCGCGGGGCACUUCGGUGCGCCGGGUCCUUUAGCCCUGGUCUUCCACACCUGCGUACAGCUGCCACCCCU
RNAcentral lists this non-coding RNA (85 nucleotides) under Pseudomonas synxantha. Lineage: Bacteria; Pseudomonadati; Pseudomonadota; Gammaproteobacteria; Pseudomonadales; Pseudomonadaceae. RNAcentral also lists the same sequence under 1 other name. The record is from RNAcentral.